Molecule: non-coding RNA, 140 nt
Filed under: Leishmania aethiopica
Lineage: Eukaryota; Euglenozoa; Kinetoplastea; Trypanosomatida; Trypanosomatidae
Source: RNAcentral
AAUCAGGCUCAGCGGGGAGGAGCGUGGACCAGCGACGGNUGAUUUGCUGCGUUGACGUGGUGCUCUGCUUGGCUGUGUGUCGGUGUGGCCCGCCCCCCUGCAGAGAGGUGGCGCGGGUCCGCCGUUGAAGCGAGGGGAAC